Molecule: ribosomal RNA, 301 nt
Filed under: uncultured bacterium
Lineage: Bacteria
Description: partial 16S ribosomal RNA
Rfam family: Bacterial small subunit ribosomal RNA
Source: RNAcentral
CAGUCGCCGCGGGAAUACGAAGGGGGCUAGCGUUGUUCGGAUUAACUGGGCGUAAAGGGUGCGUAGGCGGGCUUUUAAGUCAGGGGUGAAAUCCCAAGGCUCAACCUUGGAACUGCCUUUGAUACUGGGAGUCUUGAGUCCGGGAGAGGUGAGUGGAACUGCGAGUGUAGAGGUGAAAUUCGUAGAUAUUCGCAAGAACACCAGUGGCGAAGGCGGCUCACUGGCCCGGUACUGACGCUGAGGAGCGAAAGCGUGGGGAGCGAACAGGAUUAGAUACCCGUGUAGUCCCUGUCUCUUAUAU